This 253-nucleotide ribosomal RNA is filed under the name uncultured bacterium. RNAcentral describes it as "partial 16S ribosomal RNA". It matches the Rfam family "Bacterial small subunit ribosomal RNA", at positions 524 to 776 of the family's 1533-position model. The record is from RNAcentral.
UACGAAGGGGGCUAGCGUUGCUCGGAAUUACUGGGCGUAAAGGGCGCGUAGGCGGCACUGUUAGUCAGGCGUGAAAGUCCUGGGCUCAACCUGGGAACUGCGCUUGAUACGGCAGAGCUAGAGGAUGGAAGAGGCUCGCGGAAUUCCCAGUGUAGAGGUGAAAUUCGUAGAUAUUCGCAAGAACACCAGUGGCGAAGGCGGCUCACUGGCCCGAUACUGACGCUGAGGCACGAAAGCGUGGGGAGCAAACAGG